RNAcentral lists this transfer RNA (86 nucleotides) under Patescibacteria group bacterium. RNAcentral's name for it is "tRNA-Leu". It matches the Rfam family "tRNA". From Rfam's summary of the family: Transfer RNA (tRNA) molecules are approximately 80 nucleotides in length. Their secondary structure includes four short double-helical elements and three loops (D, anti-codon, and T loops). RNAcentral also lists the same sequence under 1 other name. The record is from RNAcentral.
GCGGGUAUGGCGAAACAGCAGACGCGCCAGCCUUAGGAGCUGGUGAGAGCAAUCUCGUGGGGGUGCAAAUCCUCCUACCCGCACCA